Zeugodacus cucurbitae (melon fly) is the source of this 2330-nucleotide RNA transcript. It is a transcript of the gene named myeloid leukemia factor, with no coding region annotated. The transcript has 6 exons. NCBI's taxonomy places the organism in Eukaryota, Metazoa, Arthropoda, Insecta, Diptera, Tephritidae. The record is from RefSeq and is a predicted model, not a curated record.
CACACAAACAAACACACCUGCUUCGUGUUCGGCACAGAGGGAAAGAAAUUUGUAGAAUUUUAAACGAAGCAUUGAAAAGUGAGACGCGUUUUACAUUCAAGUGCUGAAAAUUGUGUGUUUUAAUUGAUUUCCAACACAAUUAAUUGCUUUGAAAAUAGUGAAAUAUUUGAAUUAACAAAGAACAACAAAUUGUAUACAAAAAAAUCCUAACAAAAUGUCGCUGUUUGGCUCAAUAAUGGGAGAUUUCGAUGAUGACCUUUUCAUGGGCAAUCACAUGAAUGCCAUGAACAUGCAAAUGCGUUCGAUGAAUCGUUUGAUGAACUCAUUCAUGCCCGAUCCAUUCAAUAUGUUGGCACCAUUCGACAACGGCUUCCAACAGAAUGCACUUAUGGAGCGUGGCAAUCCACAUGCCGUUAAUCCAAUGGGUGGACUUUUUGGUUUUCCAGCUAUGCCAAAUAUGAAUAGACUACUCAGUGCGGACAUUGGUACACCAAAUGGCGCCUCAUAUUGCUCCAGCUCAGUGAUUACCAUGUCUUCGGGUCCAGAUGGUCGUCCACAAAUCUAUCAGGCCACAACUAGUACAAAAACUGGACCAGGUGGUGUACGUGAAACACGUAAGACAGUUGAGGAUUCAAGGCGUGGCAUGAAGAAAAUGGCUAUCGGUCAUCAUAUUGGCGAACGUGCGCAUAUCAUUGAAAAAGAACAAGACUUACGUUCCGGUCAAUUAGAGGAGCGUCAAGAGUUUAUCAAUUUGGAGGAAGAUGAUGCCGAGGACUUUGAUCGUGAAUUCACUAACCGCGCACGUAUGGGCGGUGCACGUGGUGGACGUCCACAAGAGAUGAUCACCAUUGAAUCGGCUGAUGAUGACGAUGAUGUACGUCCACGUCAUUAUAGCAGACAUCACGGUAGUGGUGGACAGCAUCGCAGACAAUUGCCAGCCUUGCCCGCACCGCCACAACAACAUAAUAGCUUGCCAUUGUCCAAUUCGUCGUCGUCGGUUGAUUCGUUGAACUCCAACUCUAAGCACAGCAGCAACAACAUCGAAACUGUAACUACAACGAAGCGUGCAAAUGCCAGCACAAACAACAAAACCACAGCGUCAACAACAACAACACUAAGCGGCAAUAGUAGAGUUAACAAUAGUAACAACAACAAUAGCUACUUGACAUCGAAUACAACGCUGCGCACUCCGUCCGCCGCUGGCUAUCAUCGUGGCAUUACCGCACGUCGUCCCUUACGUACGCCACCAUCGUCGCCGCUAGCCACCACACCGACCAAUCAUAGUCACAGCACAGCGCCAACGACAAGAGAUUGGCGUUUGUAUAAUCCACGUUUUUAUCGCACAUAUAAAUAAACAAUAGAACCAAACAACAGCAACAGCAACGAAAAAUUAAAACAACUACAAUGCAACGUGCACACGAUCAGAUAAAAUAUAAACACAACUAAGCAAAUAAAAUACAAAACAUUAAUUAAAGAAAUUUAUGGAAAUUGCUUGAGAAGCAGUCGGAGACCACAACAACAACAGCAACAGUAAAAAACACAACAAAAUGAAUAGAUAAGAAUGUGCAUAAAUUUAAAUUAAUUUACUACAAACAUACAAAUGUAUGUACAACAUACAAACGGAUAACGAAAACGAUGACAAACGAAAUAAGACUAAAAAAUAAGUAAAACAACAAAGAUGUGAAUCAAUCAGACAUACAUAAUUAAUUGGCAGUAAUACAAUUGGUGGCAUACUUUAGAAAACAUAGCGUUAACAAUGCAACGAUCUCGAAACCAAACAACACAGUUCACUGCGCAAAGAAGACUUAUAGCUGCUUCGAAACACGUAUGCUGCACAGCUUUCCACAUGAGUGCAACACAUAUCUUGUUUUUCAUAAGCGACUGGAGUGCGUUGAAAGAGCAAACUUGAAAGCAGCUGUUAUGAGGCGCUCAAUGCGACUAAAGAUUUUGGUUAAUGCAGCACGAACAAGAAAAAAAAAACAAGAAAAUUUUAUAAAACGAAUUUACAAAUCCAAAGUGCCUUUUCCACUACCUACCAACUCUGUACUUUAAACCCAAGCUGUCAUAAUGUCAACUGCUCUGCUGAAUUGAUGUGUUUAAUGAAUUGUUACUCUUCCCAGCCUGAUGUUGUACAUCCCCAUCCAUAUAACGCUUCGGCCGCACGCCGCAAUUACCGCUCUAAACACAGCAAACAACACCAAAUGCCACAUCAGCCGCAAACACUCACCAUAACCGAGGUCAUCGAUGACGACGAUGAUGAUGAGGUGCAGCCAACUGCUGGUGCGGUAAUCGUAGAAGAGGUGGAGGAUGAUGUAGCAGGCAACGCAACA